RNAcentral lists this small RNA (188 nucleotides) under Medicago truncatula (barrel medic). Its description in RNAcentral is "Group I catalytic intron". It matches the Rfam family "Group I catalytic intron", at positions 1 to 164 of the family's 253-position model. Rfam says of the family: Group I catalytic introns are large self-splicing ribozymes. Lineage: Eukaryota; Viridiplantae; Streptophyta; Magnoliopsida; Fabales; Fabaceae. The record is from RNAcentral.
CUACAGACUUAAUUGGAUUGAGCCUUGGUAUGGAAACUUGCCAAAUAAAAACUUUCAAAUUCAGAGAAAUCUUGAAUUAAAAUGGGCAAUCCUAAGCUAGAUCAUUUUUUUCAAAAACAAAUAAAUAAAAGUUCAGAAAGUGAAAAUAGAAAAAAGAUAGGUGCAGAGACUCGAUGGAAGCUUUUUCU